GACGAACGCUGGCGGCGUGCCUAAUACAUGCAAGUAGAACGCUGAAGGAGGAGCUUGCUUCUCUGGAUGAGUUGCGAACGGGUGAGUAACGCGUAGGUAACCUGCCUGGUAGCGGGGGAGAACUAUUGGAAACGAUAGCUAAUACCGCAUAAUAGUAGAUGUUGCAUGACAUUUGCUUAAAAGUUGCAAUUGCAUCACUACCAGAUGGACCUGCGUUGUAUUAGCUAGGUGGUGGGGUAACGGCUCACCAAGGCGACGAUACAUAGCCGGCCCGAGAGGGUGAACGGCCACACUGGGAAUGAGACACGGCCCAGAAUCCUUCGGGAGGGCGCAGUAGGGAAUCAUCGGAAAAGGACGGAAGUCUGACCGAGCAACGCCGGGUGAGUGAAGAAGGUCUUCGGAUCGUAAAGCUCUGUUGUAAGAGAAGAACGAGCGGGAGAGUGGAAAGUUCACACUGUGACGGUAUCUAACCAGAAAGGGACGGCUAACUACGUG
This 495-nucleotide ribosomal RNA is filed under the name uncultured bacterium. RNAcentral's name for it is "partial 16S ribosomal RNA". It matches the Rfam family "Bacterial small subunit ribosomal RNA", at positions 28 to 507 of the family's 1533-position model. The record is from RNAcentral.